AGUGAACGCUGGCGGUAGGCCUAACACAUGCAAGUCGAACGGCAGCACAGUAAGAGCUUGCUCUUACGGGUGGCGAGUGGCGGACGGGUGAGGAAUACAUCGGAAUCUACUUUUUCGUGGGGGAUAACGUAGGGAAACUUACGCUAAUACCGCAUACGACCUACGGGUGAAAGCAGGGGAUCUUCGGACCUUGCGCGAUUGAAUGAGCCGAUGUCGGAUUAGCUAGUUGGCGGGGUAAAGGCCCACCAAGGCGACGAUCCGUAGCUGGUCUGAGAGGAUGAUCAGCCACACUGGAACUGAGACACGGUCCAGACUCCUACAGGAGGCAACAGUGGGGAAUAUUGGACAAUGGGGGAAAGCCUGAUCCAGCCAUACCGCGUGGGUGAAGAAGGCCUUCGGGUUGGAAAGCCCUUUUGUUGGGAAAGAAAAGCAGCAGGUUAAUACCCCGCUGUUCUGACGGUACCCAAAGAAUAAGCACCGGCUAACUUCGUG
This 492-nucleotide ribosomal RNA is filed under the name uncultured bacterium. Its description in RNAcentral is "partial 16S ribosomal RNA". It matches the Rfam family "Bacterial small subunit ribosomal RNA", at positions 29 to 507 of the family's 1533-position model. The record is from RNAcentral.